RNAcentral lists this ribosomal RNA (240 nucleotides) under Triticum aestivum (bread wheat). Its description in RNAcentral is "partial small subunit ribosomal RNA". Lineage: Eukaryota; Viridiplantae; Streptophyta; Magnoliopsida; Poales; Poaceae. The record is from RNAcentral.
AUGUCACAUGGGCUCUUUAUUGUGUUUUUAAGGACACUGAUGGGUUUUGUUUGCAUGCAACACAGUAUGGACCAACAAAAUGGUCUCAUUGCAAGGUCACUACCUGGACAUAUAGGCAAGCAAUGUCAAGAGAGGUGGCAUAAUCAUCUGAAUCCAGAAUACAGAGAGAUGGUUGGACUACUGAGGAACAUGCACGAAUUAAUACCCAUCGGGUAUAUGAGAAUAAAUGGGCAAAAAUAG